AACUAUUUAACUAAAUUUAAGUAUAUAAUUUGAAAUUAUAAAAUAAAAGUAAAUCUUUUAAUAGUUU
Molecule: transfer RNA, 67 nt
Filed under: Brachymeria sp. ZJUH_2016006
Lineage: Eukaryota; Metazoa; Arthropoda; Insecta; Hymenoptera; Chalcididae
Description: tRNA-Ser
Source: RNAcentral